AGUGGGAUAGCUGGGCCAAAUGGUAGUUCCAUUCCCAGAUUUCCAAGGAAUCUCUAUACUACUUUUCAUAUUGGCUGCACCAAUUUGCAGUCCCAACAGCAAU
RNAcentral lists this microRNA precursor (103 nucleotides) under Marmota monax (woodchuck). Lineage: Eukaryota; Metazoa; Chordata; Mammalia; Rodentia; Sciuridae. The record is from RNAcentral.